UUUUCAGUUUCGCUACCCUCUUCAUCUUCCUAUCUAGAGUUUAAAAGCAUACUUUAAAGAUGAGAAUCAAUGUAGAUGUGAAUUUCAAGUGUCAGCCGAUUGCAAAGGAAGGUCUACGGUUACUCCAUACAAUUUUGUUGAUCUGAGAUUUGUCACACUUCUUUAUCACUUCCAAAUCUCUUCUAAAUCACAACAGAGAGGGCUGCAAAAAUAUUAUUUAGAUAAAAAGCAUUUUGAAGUUUAUCUAUAGAUGAUCGGCUUUAGUUAUAUGUACACUUUGAAAGUAGAACAUGCCUCUCGAAGUGGACUACGAGAAAGAAUUGGUGAGGACGUAGAAAAAGAUGAAGCAAAAUCUGAAAUCUAAAUCUCCCUCUACUACAACUUUGAAGAUAAAGCGCAAGAACUCCUACACGAUUAGGUAAUCCAUAUGUCUCUGGUUUUGUCUUUAAUUUGAUCAUCUCUACUACGUGAAGUUGUAGUUUAUUUGUAAGUUUUGAUUGACCUUGUUGGUAAGAUUUUCAUCUAUUCAUUCCUUUUAAAGAUACAUUGGAGGUAAUUUAUAAAAAAAGUAAUGUCCACAUCUUACCUCUAGCUUUAUGUUAUUCGGCUCUCCUCUUCUUUCCACAAUCAGAGAGGCUAAAAAGAAACAGAUAAAAAUAAUAAUAAAAAAUAAAUAAAAUAAAAAGAAACAGAUUACGUUUUGUUGCAGAUAUACAUUGGAUCUAUAAAGUUUUGAAAGUGAGAUGCAGUGUUGAAAAAUCAGAACCAGUGAAUGAAGAUGUGGAAGAAGAAGGUCAACAAUGGAGAAAGGGGAACUUGAAAAUCAAGCAUAGUCAAAAUAUACUCUUUGAAGAAACUACAAACGAGACUAGAGCGUGAGAAGGUUAAAAGAACAAACUAGAUAUAGCAGAAACUACAAACUAGAUAUCCAUAUAACACUUGUACAUGUUUGAACCGAAAUGUGUUAAAAAGAGUAUAUACUAAACGAGAU
RNAcentral lists this unclassified non-coding RNA (991 nucleotides) under Arabidopsis thaliana (thale cress). The record is from RNAcentral. Lineage: Eukaryota; Viridiplantae; Streptophyta; Magnoliopsida; Brassicales; Brassicaceae.